This 490-nucleotide ribosomal RNA is filed under the name uncultured bacterium. RNAcentral describes it as "partial 16S ribosomal RNA". It matches the Rfam family "Bacterial small subunit ribosomal RNA", at positions 28 to 523 of the family's 1533-position model. The record is from RNAcentral.
GACGAACGCUGGCGGCGUGCUUAACACAUGCAAGUCGAGCGGUAAGGCCUCUUCGGGGGUACACGAGCGGCGAACGGGUGAGUAACACGUGAGUAAUCUGCCCUUCACUCUGGGAUAAGCACUCGAAAGGGUGUCUAAUACCGGAUACGACGCACUCUCGCAUGGGAUGUGUGUGGAAACUUUUGUGGGUGGGGGAUGUGCUCGCGGCCUAUCAGCUUGUUGGUGGGGUAAUGGCCUACCAAGGCUUUGACGGGUAGCCGGCCUGAGAGGGUGACCGGCCACACUGGGACUGGGACACGGCCCAGACUCCUACGGGAGGCAGCAGUGGGGAAUAUUGGACAGUGGGCGGAAGCCUGAUCCAGCAACGCCGCGUGAGGGAUGACGGCCUUCGGGUUGUAAACCUCUUUCAGUAUCGACGAAGCGCCCGUGUGGGUGGUGACGGUAGGUACAGAAGAAGCACCGGCCAACUACGUGCCAGCCGCCGCCGUAA